This 253-nucleotide ribosomal RNA is filed under the name uncultured bacterium. RNAcentral describes it as "partial 16S ribosomal RNA". It matches the Rfam family "Bacterial small subunit ribosomal RNA", at positions 524 to 776 of the family's 1533-position model. The record is from RNAcentral.
UACGUAGGGUGCAGGCGUUAAUCGGAAUUACUGGGCGUAAAGCGUGCGCAGGCGGUUUGCUAAGACAGAUGUGAAAUCCCCGGGCUCAACCUGGGAACUGCAUUUGUGACUGCAAGGCUAGAGUACGGUAGAGGGGGAUGGAAUUCCGCGUGUAGCAGUGAAAUGCGUAGAUAUGCGGAGGAACACCGAUGGCGAAGGCAAUCCCCUGGACCUGUACUGACGCUCAUGCACGAAAGCGUGGGGAGCAAACAGG